UCCACGCCCUGAACGAUGAAUGCUAGUCGUCGUGGAGCUCGUCUCUGCGGUGAUGCAGUUAACACAUUAAGCAUUCCGCCUGGGGAGUACGGUCGCAAGAUUAAAACUCAAAGGAAUAGACGGGGACCCGCACAAGUGGUGGAGCAUGUGGUUUAAUUCGAAGAUACGCGAAGAACCUUACCUAGCCUUGACAUUGAGAGAAUCCACCAGAGAUGGAGGAGUGCCUGCUUG
RNAcentral lists this ribosomal RNA (231 nucleotides) under uncultured bacterium. RNAcentral describes it as "partial 16S ribosomal RNA". It matches the Rfam family "Bacterial small subunit ribosomal RNA", at positions 794 to 1023 of the family's 1533-position model. The record is from RNAcentral.